CGUAGGGUGCGAGCGUUAAUCGGAAUUACUGGGCGUAAAGCGUGCGCAGGCUGUUUUGUAAGUCAGAUGUGAAAUCCCUGGGCUCAACCUAGGAACUGCGUUUGAAACUACAAGGCUAGAGUGUAGCAGAGGGGGGUAGAAUUCCACGUGUAGCAGUGAAAUGCGUAGAGAUGUGGAGGAAUACCAAUGGCGAAGGCAGCCCCCUGGGUUAACACUGACGCUCAUGCACGAAAGCGUGGGAGCAAACAGGAUU
This 253-nucleotide ribosomal RNA is filed under the name uncultured bacterium. Its description in RNAcentral is "partial 16S ribosomal RNA". It matches the Rfam family "Bacterial small subunit ribosomal RNA", at positions 526 to 779 of the family's 1533-position model. The record is from RNAcentral.